RNAcentral lists this ribosomal RNA (440 nucleotides) under uncultured bacterium. RNAcentral's name for it is "partial 16S ribosomal RNA". It matches the Rfam family "Bacterial small subunit ribosomal RNA", at positions 338 to 795 of the family's 1533-position model. The record is from RNAcentral.
CCUACGGGAGGCAGCAGUGGGGAAUAUUGCACAAUGGGGGAAACCCUGAUGCAGCGACGCCGCGUGAGUGAAGAAGUAUUUCGGUACGUAAAGCUCUAUCAGCAGGGAAGAAAAUGACGGUACCUGACUAAGAAGCCCCGGCUAACUACGUGCCAGCAGCCGCGGUAAUACGUAGGGGGCAAGCGUUAUCCGGAUUUACUGGGUGUAAAGGGAGCGUAGACGGCAGCGCAGGUCUGGAGUGAAAUCCCAUGGCUUAACCAUGGAACUGCUUUGGAAACUGUGCAGCUAGAGUGCAGGAGAGGUAAGCGGAAUUCCUAGUGUAGCGGUGAAAUGCGUAGAUAUUAGGAGGAACACCAGUGGCGAAGGCGGCUUACUGGACUGUAACUGACGUUGAGGCUCGAAAGCGUGGGGAGCAAACAGGAUUAGAUACCCGAGUAGUC